CGGUCGCUUAGCUCAGUUGGUUAGAGCGUGGUGCUAAUAACGCCAAGGUCGCGAGUUCGACCCUCGUAGUGACCA
RNAcentral lists this transfer RNA (75 nucleotides) under Pseudogymnoascus verrucosus. RNAcentral's name for it is "partial tRNA-Ile". It matches the Rfam family "tRNA". Rfam says of the family: Transfer RNA (tRNA) molecules are approximately 80 nucleotides in length. Their secondary structure includes four short double-helical elements and three loops (D, anti-codon, and T loops). Further hydrogen bonds mediate the characteristic L-shaped molecular structure. tRNAs have two regions of fundamental functional importance: the anti-codon, which is responsible for specific mRNA codon recognition, and the 3' end, to which the tRNAs corresponding amino acid is attached (by aminoacyl-tRNA synthetases). tRNAs cope with the degeneracy of the genetic code in two manners: having more than one tRNA (with a specific anti-codon) for a particular amino acid; and 'wobble' base-pairing, i.e. permitting non-standard base-pairing at the 3rd anti-codon position. Lineage: Eukaryota; Fungi; Ascomycota; Leotiomycetes; Thelebolales; Thelebolaceae. The record is from RNAcentral. RNAcentral also lists the same sequence under 1 other name.